Molecule: transfer RNA, 76 nt
Filed under: Silanimonas sp.
Lineage: Bacteria; Pseudomonadati; Pseudomonadota; Gammaproteobacteria; Lysobacterales; Lysobacteraceae
Description: tRNA-Gln
Rfam family: tRNA
About the family: Transfer RNA (tRNA) molecules are approximately 80 nucleotides in length. Their secondary structure includes four short double-helical elements and three loops (D, anti-codon, and T loops). Further hydrogen bonds mediate the characteristic L-shaped molecular structure. tRNAs have two regions of fundamental functional importance: the anti-codon, which is responsible for specific mRNA codon recognition, and the 3' end, to which the tRNAs corresponding amino acid is attached (by aminoacyl-tRNA synthetases). tRNAs cope with the degeneracy of the genetic code in two manners: having more than one tRNA (with a specific anti-codon) for a particular amino acid; and 'wobble' base-pairing, i.e. permitting non-standard base-pairing at the 3rd anti-codon position.
Source: RNAcentral
UGCGGCGUAGUCGAGAGGCCUCAGACACCAGCCUUUGAAGCUGGGGACGUUGGUUCGAACCCAACCGCCGCAGCCA